This 433-nucleotide ribosomal RNA is filed under the name uncultured bacterium. RNAcentral's name for it is "partial 16S ribosomal RNA". It matches the Rfam family "Bacterial small subunit ribosomal RNA", at positions 29 to 507 of the family's 1533-position model. The record is from RNAcentral.
AACGAACGCUGGCGGCAUGCCUAACACAUGCAAGUCGAACGAGACCUUCGGGUCUAGUGGCGCACGGGUGCGUAACGCGUGGGAACCUGCCCUUAGGUUCGGAAUAACUCCCCGACAGGGGUGCUAAUACCGGAUAAUGUCUUCGGACCAAAGAUUUAUCGCCUUUGGAUGGGCCCGCGUUGGAUUAGCUAGUUGGUAGGGUAAAAGCAUACCAAGGCGACGAUCCAUAGCUGGUCUGAGAGGAUGAUCAGCCACACUGGGACUGAGACACGGCCCAGACUCCUACGGGAGGCAGCAGUGGGGAAUAUUGGACAAUGGGCGAAAGCCUGAUCCAGCAAUGCCGCGUGAGUGAUGAAGGCCUUAGGGUUGUAAAGCUCUUUUACCCGGGAUGAUAAUGACAGUACCGGGAGAAUAAGCUCCGGCUAACUCCGUG